UGGUUCUGGCAUCGAUGAAGAACGCAGCGAAAUGCGAUAAGUAGUGUACAUUGCAGACCUUAGUGAAUCAUCGAAUCUUUGAACGCACAUUGCGCCUUGUAGUAUUCUACAUGGCAUGCCUGUUCGAGCGUCAUUGCAGCCUCAAGCCUUGCUUGUCGUUGGGCGUCUGUCCUGCCGGGACUCGCCUGAAAUGUAUGCAUCGAGAACGAGUCCUCUAGCCGACGCAGUACGUGAAUCUGGUUUAGGGACUGCGUCCUCCCGCAGCAGCGAUAAUUUGGCCUCGGAUCAGGUAGGGAUACCCGCUGA
Molecule: unclassified non-coding RNA, 306 nt
Filed under: uncultured fungus
Lineage: Eukaryota; Fungi
Description: partial contains 5.8S ribosomal RNA and internal transcribed spacer 2
Rfam family: 5.8S ribosomal RNA (bases 1-133)
Source: RNAcentral